CCAAUAGCGUAUAUUAGUGUUGUUGCGGUUAAAAAGCUCGUAGUUGAAUUUCGGGAUUGGGAUAUAUCGGUCAUGCCUUUAGGGGCAUGAAUCGGUGUGUAGCCAAUUUCUCACCUUCUGGUGAAUUGGGAUGCUCUUGGGUGUUUCAAUGAACUAGGACUUUUACUUUGAAAAAAUUAUAGUGUUUAAAGCGGGCAUUUUUGCUUGAAUACAUUAGCAUGGAAUAAUAAAAUAGGACGAUGGUUCUAUUUUGUUGGUUUUAGGACCACGUAAUGAUUAAUAGGGAUAGUUGUGGGCAUUAGUAUUCAAUAGUCAGAGGUGAAAUUCUUGGAUUUAUUGAGGACUAACUACUGCGAAAGCAUUUGCCAAGGAUGUUUUCAUUAAUCAAGAACGAAAGUUAGGGGAUCGAAGACGAUUUAUGUACGUCGUAGUCUUAACCAUAAACUAUGCCGACUAUGAAUCAGACAAAGUUCAUUUUUUAACGACUUGUUUGGUACCUUACG
This 503-nucleotide unclassified non-coding RNA is filed under the name uncultured Entrophospora. RNAcentral describes it as "SSU rRNA". It matches the Rfam family "Eukaryotic small subunit ribosomal RNA", at positions 591 to 1092 of the family's 1831-position model. The record is from RNAcentral. Lineage: Eukaryota; Fungi; Glomeromycota; Glomeromycetes; Entrophosporales; Entrophosporaceae.